RNAcentral lists this long non-coding RNA (247 nucleotides) under Coturnix japonica (Japanese quail). RNAcentral's name for it is "lncRNA (ENSCJPG00005018597.1)". Lineage: Eukaryota; Metazoa; Chordata; Aves; Galliformes; Phasianidae. The record is from RNAcentral.
UCAUUAGGAAAGCCACGUGAAUUAAAGAUCAUCAGAAGUGAAGUAGGUCAGAAGACAAUGAUGAAAUUGCGUUAUCAAAGAAUUCAGUCCUAUUCCCAUCGAAGCAAGUAAAUCUGGAUGCUGAGCUAAAUGGAAAGAGAAUUCAUUGCAUUCAUCUACACAGCACCCUAAAAGCCUAGAUGAUAGCAGUAUCCCAGUUACUGAGGUGUAGAAGACAAUAAAGAACAAGGAUUUUAGAAAAAAAUUA